This 5278-nucleotide long non-coding RNA is filed under the name Homo sapiens (human). RNAcentral describes it as "non-protein coding LGALSL-DT:9". The record is from RNAcentral. Lineage: Eukaryota; Metazoa; Chordata; Mammalia; Primates; Hominidae.
ACCCACGCGCACACCUGGCUGGCGGUUGCACGGCACAGAGGGGGCUGUCGGGCGUCCCUACCCGCCAUCCUCCCCAAACUCCCUCCCCAGCCCAGAGCCCCGCAGCCCGGGAGCCUCUCCAGCCCCUAACACCGGCCGCGCGCAGCCAGCGGCUGCUAACAGGUACCGGGCGCCUUCCCACGCGCCGGGCGCCGGCCGGGCCUGCGGCUGCUCAGCACCCCAGCACUGCUGGAGCAGGCGGCGGCGGAGUGCGGGACGGCGGGGAGGGGCGCCUCGCGCGCGCCCUGCCACACUCACCACCACGGCAUCGCUGUCGGCCACUGAUCCCGCCAUCUUCUUGCCCGGCGCGGCGAGGAGAAGGUAUGACAUAGCUCCACCUACAUGCAAGGGGAGCCAGGAAGUGCAAUCCCUGGCUGGGCUGCCACGUCUCAGAAACCAUUAAGCCUAUGGAAGGUCUCUGGAUUUGAUGGCAAAUGGCAGCAGAAAUGUGGAAAAGAUCAAAGUGAUGUCAAGGUUGAUCUCUGAGUUUGGCAUGGCUGAACUCAAACAUCAUUUGCCAUGGACCCACAGUGUCUUCAGUAGCUGAGUGUGGUGUCAUUCCCCUAUGAUAUGUGCACUCAAUUGCUGGCCAGUUUUUGUUUUUUGUUUUUGAGAGAGUCUCGCUUUGUCUCCUAGGCUGGAGUGCAGUGGCACGAUCUCGGCUCACUGCAACCUCCGCCUCCCGGGUUCAAGUGAUUUUCCUGCCUCAGCCUCCCGAGUAGCUGAGAUUACAGGCAUGUGCCAGCAGGCCCGGCUAAUUUUUUUUGUAAUUUUAGUAGAGACGGGGUUUUGCCAUGUUGGCCAGGCUGGUCUCGAGCUCCUGGCCUCAAGUGAUCCACCUGCCUCCACCUCCCAAAGUGCUGGGAUUACAGGUGUGAGCCACUGUACCUGGCCCCAAAGUUUUAGAAAUUGGAUCAUUUUAAAUGUUGGAGGGGAGUUCAUUGUUUAGGAUGGCUGUGUGGCAAAUCUUUUUUUAAAGUAAGUAAUUCUCCUCUAUUAUAAGUCACCUCCUGAUCUCUACAUUUAAGGUUUGCUGUCCUGGAUGUGUUCACCUAUGAAUGUAAGUGUGCUGAGAUACACAGUGCAAGGCUGAAGUCAGAGUACACCACUGAUGAACCCCUGGGAACUGGUAACCCAGCCAGGGAAUGAACAUCUUUUAUGAAUCAGUUUAUCCACCAAACACUUGCAGAGAGCCUAUCCCAUGCCACCCCUGAGGGCACGGUGAUGGAGAAGAUAUGCUUCCUGCCUCCAAGAACCCCAUAGUCUAGUGGCAGAGACAAGCAGGUACAUAGCUGCCUAUAGUACAGCAUCACAGGUGCCAUAACAUUGUGUAAACUGGGAAUAAUUCUAUUCUCUGGAUAUAGAACAUCUAACCAAGAUAUUGAGUAUCUGGCUUCCCCUUCCCCACACUGGCCCUCACUGGGAUCCAUGUCUAAUAUUAUGAAAGUCACACAAUAUCAUUAUAAACUAAUCAUAAAUGGCACUGUCAGUUUGCUACAAAAACUUAUUCAGAAAAUAUUCAGAUUCUCCCAUCAACAUAUGCCGCUAUGUUGGCAAAAGCUCUGAUUUAAAAUACUUAUUUCGUUUUCCUCUCCGAUUUUGUUCUAGUCUUCAAAAUGAUUUCAUACAACAUAGCACUGAGUUCCUUAGUUCCUCUGACCCCUGCCAGAUCUGAAGCUGUGAUGUUCAAAAGUCAGGGCAGAGUCCAUCUUAUGAUUGAGUUUCAUAAGAGUCUAAGCCACUGAUCAACAUACUGUGGCAGAGUAAGCUUUCUGGGUUCCAGAAUUUAUUGUGAGUGGGCUGAGGGAGUUGAGAAAUGGCAUGGGAGGCCUAAAGAGAAAAUAACUUUUGAAUGAAAAUUAUAGGAAAGUGGAUUUGAGAUCAAAACAAAGGAAGGUUGAUCAUAGUUGGAAUCAUUUAAGAUUGGUGGGGGUAGUGGGCUUCUGGUUCUUAACCCAGGCCAGGCAGAGGUGUGACAACAGUCAGGGGUUUCUAAACAGGGUGGGAGGUUAGAUGAGAAUAGCCUUCAACCCUUUGUGUUGAACUAAAAUCCUAGCUCUGCUUUCAACUCCUAGACUCUGCUUCAUCAUUGCUAAGUUGGAAAGAGCAAGCAAUUGAGAGUCCCUGCUGGCCACAGCUGGGGUGCCCCAGACCACAGCACUGAGCCUCAAAGGCAAGUGAGCAUAGUGUUGGGAGCUGGGCUUCUGGAUCCAUCAACUCCAUCUGAUGACUCGGAAGUUCCUUCAGUUCCCAACACUGGAGUCCAGCAAGGCUGGUUUGUCUUGUUUUAAUUAUUAUUUAGAUGACUGUUUGGCUCAUACCUGAGCAAGGUUCAAAUCAAGUCAGACCUGUUAAUUUAAUCAAAGUUAUAUAAUCACAUUUGGGCACUUAAAUGUAAACCAAUUAUGUUGGAAGCCAAGUAUCUUGUACUCAGGAGGGAGUUCUAAUAAGUGCUGGGAAUGUAUGCUAAUGCACAAAGCCUAACCCCCAGAGUGGAGGGUGGAGCACUCCAGGGCACUCCUGUUUCGGUGACGUUGUUUUAAUAGCUAGUGCUCUGGGUGCAGUCUGGGAAGAUAUUGGAAACAUCUCAAGCAAGUAUGACAUCCAUUUUACCCAAGCCCAUGGAACCCAUUAUGUUUGGAACAUGUCUGUCUGUGGCAUUUGGCUUGGCUUAUAAAUGCACUAUCAGAAUCUAUAGGAGGCCUUCGCAACAAGACGUGUCUUGGCCUUUCUGGUUAUCAGCAAUCCCUCCACCUCUCUCUUAACAAACAUAUGCCAUAAGUCCUGAUCAGGCAUUUAGUUUUUUCACUUGGACCUUUUCCUAGUUCCUAGUCUCAACCCCAAUGCCUCCUAAUCUUGUACUUCUUCAAAUACUGGCCCCCCUCUACUAUGAGAGAGAGAGGAAAGUAGGGAGGAGAAGGAGGAAAAGUUAUUGAGUUGAUAUGAGGGUAGUCAACCUAAAGCAACAAUCAGGAGUAAGGUACUGGACUUGAGUUUGAAGUGUUUGUCACUAAACUCUCUCAAACUCUUCCAGGCUAACUAGCCUCAGAGGGCUUCUAGCCCAUAGUCUCCUUGUAUUUUCUGCCCUCCUCACUUGGAGUGGGAGGGAACCAGAUGUCCAGUCUUUGUCCCGUGUUAAGAACUGGCCUGGCAGGCUUUGUUGAGACCAUCCAGACUUGAAAGCCUCACAACCAGAUGCCAUCACAGGCACUUUCUGCUCUUAACCUUUGUCUGUGUCUCCUACAUGAACUCAUCAGACUGCCUCUGAAGAGGGACAUUCUAGGGACAGUUUCAUCUUCAUCACCAUCCUGGAUAGGGAACCCUUCCAGACUCAGAGUUGCAAAAGUCAGGGAGGGGCUGCUCACUGGAGGUGGAGUCCUUUGGCCAGGUUUCACUGUAAACACAUGGCUAAAAUGUGUCGCACAUGGACAGGCAUGCUAGUGUGCUCUGGAUACAUGCUAGUGUGCCCCAGAUAUAUGCUAGUGUGCCCCGUAUAGCUUCUGGCUAAAGGACACACCUCAGCAAGGCCAAAUGAGGCAUCAGGAUGAACUCUUCAAAUAGACUUCAUUAGACCCACAGAAGACUAACCUUUGCCUGACUUUGGAUUACCCCUUUCUUGCCAGGAAUUAUGUUCAAUGACUAUAUCUGGAACUAGAGGUCUUGAUAGCCACACUUUGCUUGGUGUGGCUUCUCAGUCUUUUAAGGACAUGGCUAUCAAGGGCUCAUGUUUAUUCCAGGUCAGCCCUUUACCCCUUUCCUCCAGGGGCAUCUAUGGCAACAAAAGACCAUGACAUCUGGCAGGGCUGGCAGGACUAUUUAGUUUAGGCAGGAAUGUGGGUGUUAGCAUGUCAGAGUACAUCUGAGAAAACAUUCCAAACCAACCUUUCCACACUGGGAACUCAACCCCCAGGAAUCACCAAAGAUAAGGGCAACAGUCUUAUCUCUCGAGGGAAGUUCAGGGUAAAGUCCACUCCUGCUGUGGACCAGAGCUCAGGGAAGAAGAAAGCUCAGGCUGGCUCUGCCUGUCCACUUGAUGAACUUCCACAAAUGCCACUCUGGGAGCUGAGGCAUAUGAAGUGGGGAAGAAAAUACCAGCCCUGCCCUGGAGCUCUGGGAUGGUGGCUGUACACCCCUAAAGAUGCCAGCAGAUCUGAACUGUGGCCUAUGUGUGUUUGGGAAUUGAGAAAUAAGGAGAUAGAGGGACAGCAGGCAGGAAAAACUACAAUUAGUCUCAGCUCACACAGAUUUGGGAGUAUGCAGAUCUGAAUUGUGGCCUCCAUGUGUUUGGCUGAAGGAUAAUGAUCUCAGGCCCAGACUUUUUUUUUUUUUUGUAUCACUCGCUCAGGGGGCUCUGACCAGGAGCUUCUUUCAGAUGACACAGAUCCCGAGGAGCCACUUGCCUUCUACCCAUGACACUUCUAAGAGUGACUCUUGCCAUGUGACCAUAGAGAUAAGUGAAGUUUUCUCCAAUGACAUCAUUAAGAAGUCUAAACUUCCCCAAAGGGAGAGGCUGUGACUAGGAACACAAAUGUCUCAGUGUAUCACACUCAUGCUCCCAGAUCUGUGGGCAGAAAAAGAAAUCAUAGAAUGGUGCAUAUCCUAAAAAUAAAAAGGAAAUUGCUUUUCAAGUUAUGAAAUUUGGCCCUUCUCAUUGUGAGUUUAAAGUACAUGUUACUGCUUCAGUUUCUAAAACAGGAGGUGGCCAAAUUCAGAGUUUAAAAUGUCUAAGUGGUUAUUUGAAAACAGAUAUUUAGAGGCAACUGAGAGAAGAAUACUGGGGCCAUGGGUCUGCAGUCACUUUCCCAGCAGUGCUCUGAGGCCUUGGGUCUCAUAAAAGGUAAUCAUAGUUACGCCUUUUAAAGAAAGCUGAGUCUAACUGUAGCUUUUCCUGCCUGUUGUCCCUCUAUCUCCUUACUUCCCAAUUCUAUCUAUCUUUCAAAACCCAGCUCAAAUCCCACCUCCUUCCAUAAGUCUUCCAUUGUUUAAUAUAGUUGGAAUUUACCUCUCCCUCCUCUAACUCCCAUGGCAUUUUAUUUACACCUCUCUGAUGGCCACUUUCUACUUUCUAUAAGGUAAGUUAUAUACUUGUUUUAUAUCAAUAAAUUUCAAAAUAUUGAAAUCUUACAGAGUAUGUUCUCUAACCACAAUGAAAUUAGAUCAUAUAUUAAACUACCUAGAUAAUCCUACAUAUUUAGAAAUUAAAUAACACAUUUAUAAAUAACCAUGGAUCAAAGGAGAC